GAUGGUCGUGGCAAAAUGGCUAGUUCAUCUAGAAAAACAGAUGAAGAAAAAAUUAAAGUAGUACGAGAUCAUAUUCUGAGUUUUCCAGCAUGUGGGAGUCAUUACACGAGAUCACAUCACACUUCAGGUGAAAAUAAUACUACAUCAUGUGUAAAGGAGUGGACUUAUCCUCUUCAGACCCUGGGUACACAUAUGUGCACUUUAAAUUUCACUGAACUUAAUCAUCUUAGUGACAUCUUAUGGUAAAGUUGAGAAUUUUUGCAAGAGACGCCUAGUCAGUAACUUUGAAAAUCAAUAAAAAAUCAAUUGUUCACUUGUUUUUGGUAAAUCAAAGUGGAUACUACAGUCGAAGUGUUGGAUUAUCGUGUAAAAAGCUUCAAAAUGGACGACCGAGAAAUUGAGGCUUUAUUGAAUGAUAGCGACUUGGACUUCUCUGGAGAAAGCGAUGAUGAGUACCUACCAUCAGAUUUCAUGGAAACGGACAGCGAAGAAGGUGCAGGU
This is a long non-coding RNA of Bactrocera tryoni, 501 nucleotides long. RefSeq lists it as uncharacterized. The transcript is spliced from 3 exons. The record is from RefSeq and is a predicted model, not a curated record. NCBI's taxonomy places the organism in Eukaryota, Metazoa, Arthropoda, Insecta, Diptera, Tephritidae.